AUGUGUGAUGCUAGUGAUUAUGCUGUUGGUGUUGUUCUAGGAAAAAGAGUUGAUAAGAAAUUAAAUGUUAUCCCUUAUGCUAGCAAAACUCUAGACAUUGCCCAAAGAAAUUAUGCUACCACUGAGAAAAAAAAAUUGGCAGUUGUGUUUGCUUGUGAUAAAUUCAGAUCUUACAUUAUUGAUUCCAAAAUAAUUGUUCACACCGAUCGUGCUGCUAUAAAAUAUCUUCUGGAAAAGAAAGAUGCCAAACCUAGACUCAUUAGGUGGGUUCUCUUUCUACAAGAAUUUGAAUUACAUAUCACUGAUAGGAAAGGAGCUGAGAACCCCGUAGCUGAUAACUUGUCUAGGUUAGAAAAUAUUCUUGAUGACCCACUACCUAUUGAUGAUAGUUUUCCUGAUGAACAACUAGCUACAAUAAAUAUACUACUUAUAAUACUCCUUGGUAUGCUGACUAUGCUAAUUAUAUCGUUCCUAAAUUUACACCACCUAGUUUUACAUACCAACAAAAGAAAAAAUUCUUCUAUGACUUAA
This 531-nucleotide ribosomal RNA is filed under the name Triticum aestivum (bread wheat). RNAcentral describes it as "partial small subunit ribosomal RNA". The record is from RNAcentral. Lineage: Eukaryota; Viridiplantae; Streptophyta; Magnoliopsida; Poales; Poaceae.